CCUGCCCUGGAGACCGGGAUAACAUCGGGAAACCGUUGCUAAUACCGGAUGCCCUCAUCGGAUCGCAUGAUCUGAUGAGGAAAUGGAUUCCGCUCCAGGAUGGCCUCGCGGCCUAUCAGCUUGUUGGUGGGGUAACGGCCCACCAAGGCUUCGACGGGUAGCUGGUCUGAGAGGAUGUCCAGCCACACUGGGACUGAGACACGGCCCAGACUCCUACGGGAGGCAGCAGUGGGGAAUCUUGCGCAAUGGGCGAAAGCCUGACGCAGCGAUGCCGCGUGCGGGAUGAAGGCCUUCGGGUUGUAAACCGCUUUCAGCAGGGACGAAAUUGACGGUACCUGCAGAAGAAGCCCCGGCCAACUAUGUGCCAGCAGCCGCGGUAAUACGUAGGGGGCGAGCGUUGUCCCGGAUUUAUUGGGCGUAAAGAGCUCGUAGGCGGUUCGAUAAGUCGGAUGUGAAAUCUCCACGCUUAACGUGGAGGGUGCAUUCGAUACUGUCGUGACUAGAGUCCGGUAGAGGGGUGUGGAAUUCCUGGUGUAGCGGUGAAAUGCGCAGAGAUCAGGAGGAACACCCGUAGCGAAGGCGGCACUCUGGGGCCGGAACUGACGCUGAGGAGCGAAAGCGUGGGUAGCGAACAGGAUUAGAUACCCUGGUAGUCCACGCCGUAAACGUUGGGCACUAGGUGUGGGACUCUAUCGACSGGGUUCCGUGCCGUAGCUAACGCAUUAAGUGCCCCGCCUGGGGGAGUACGGGCCGCAAGGCUAAAACUCAAAGGAAUUGACGGGGGCCCGCACAAGCGGCGGAGCAUGUGGCUUAAUUCGAUGCAACGCGAAGAACCUUACCUGGGUUGAACUAUGCAGGAAAAGCCGUAGAGAUACGGUGUCCUUCGGGGCCUGUGAUAGGUGGUGCAUGGCUGUCGUCAGCUCGUGUCRUGAGAUGUUGGGUUAAGUCCCGCAACGAGCGCAACCCUUAUCCUAUGUUGCCAGCGCGUUAUGGCGGGGACUCGUARGAGACUNCCGGUGCCAAACCGGAGGAARGGUGGGGAUGACGUCAAGUCAUCAUGCCCCUUACGUCCAGGGCUGCACACGUGCUACAAUGRCCGGUACAAAGGGUUGCUACUCCGCGAGGAGACGCCAAUCCCAAAAAGCCGGUCUA
RNAcentral lists this ribosomal RNA (1152 nucleotides) under uncultured bacterium. Its description in RNAcentral is "bacterial SSU rRNA". It matches the Rfam family "Bacterial small subunit ribosomal RNA", at positions 125 to 1289 of the family's 1533-position model. The record is from RNAcentral.